Molecule: ribosomal RNA, 253 nt
Filed under: uncultured bacterium
Lineage: Bacteria
Description: partial 16S ribosomal RNA
Rfam family: Bacterial small subunit ribosomal RNA
Source: RNAcentral
CACGUAGGGCGCAAGCGUUGUCCGGAAUUAUUGGGCGUAAAGAGCUCGUAGGCGGUCUGUCGCGUCGGUCGUGAAAACUUGGGGCUUAACCCUGAGCUUGCGGUCGAUACGGGCAGACUAGAGGUAUGCAGGGGAGAACGGAAUUCCUGGUGUAGCGGUGAAAUGCGCAGAUAUCAGGAGGAACACCUGCGGCGAAGGCGGGUUGCUGGGCUGAUACUGACGCUGAGGCGCGAAAGCUAGGGGAGCGAACGGG